GGUUGCUUUUUCUCACCGGCGUGUGCUCCUCUAGCGGGCCUGCCUGCUUCCCCUUUGCUUGGUGGCUCCUUGGUCACUCCAUGGUCAUUUUUCAAUCAUCGUGAUGGCGCCCCUUCCUACUGUGCCUGCAGAUGUUCCUCAUCGUCAUCAUUGUGGAUUACUCGCUGCCAUCCCAUCGCUUUAGCUAUCAUUCAGGCCUCAGCGGUCUACUGUGCGGAGUUGGUUUUGGGGGCCUUUGGCGAAAGCCUGGCUGGGUAUUUGCCGGGACUACGACGGUUGCGUACUUGGAUGUAGCUCACCUUGCUGUGGGGUAUUGUUGCGGCCACCAAAUCCAUUAUUUUUUGCUAGGUGAAGACUUGGUCUGCUCUCCUGGAGACAGACGGACGAUGGCGGCGUUGGCGGUGCUUCCUCCCUGGAGGCAUCGUUUUGCAAGACCUUCUCACUCUACCUCCACUGGCUUCUGGUUGUUAGACAGUCGGUGACGUACGUGUGUUCAUGGCGUCUUUCUCUCCUGCAAGUUUAAGUCAUCUUAGGUCAUGUUUUGUGUGGUGGUGGUGAAGUGAUUUUCUUUUCUGUUGUCGUGUUUGUGUUAUUUAUCACUAGUCGUGGCUCUUGCAACUCUGCACUUUGGAAUUUCUCCUAGAGAUAUAUCGUUGUAAUUCUCCUCUUCUUAAUUAAAAACGUGUUAUGCACGUCUUAAAAAAAAGAAAUAUUAGUCUCCAAAAAUUUCUACUAAAAAAAUUAAAGCAACCAUGGACCAGUUUUGCAGACAGUGGCAUCAUUGUUGUCUAGUUUUUUCCUUGUAAGAUGACAUAUAUCACAUAUGAGACGGAGCACCAGUCCCAUCUGGUGCACCACUGAUAAAAUCCAUUGAUAAAACCCGUUGGCACUAGGAAGUAUCGGUAGCGGCUACUGGUACCUUUGCACGAGAGAUACAUGCAAGCUAAGUUGAAACACUGACAGCAUUGGAAGGCUGCAUCAGCUUGUGUGCGGGGUUAAAUACAAAC
This 1007-nucleotide long non-coding RNA is filed under the name Setaria viridis. RNAcentral's name for it is "long non-coding RNA (SVIR_LNC003398)". The record is from RNAcentral. Lineage: Eukaryota; Viridiplantae; Streptophyta; Magnoliopsida; Poales; Poaceae.